UUCUAUGCCUAAAGAUGGCGUGGAUGAAAGAAUUUCAGAUGGAUCAAAGGAGAGACUGAACAAGACCUUGGAAGAGAGAUCUAGUAAAUGUCAUUGACUAGACAAACCCCAUCCAGCUCAGGAAACUCUCCCAGCUAAAACAAAGUUGGAUGCUAGAACUGAGGGGCAUUAUCAAAUGCGUUUCUCCUGGUCCUGCUGUUCUCCGAGAGCGUACUUGGCAGGCACUCCCUCUAGAAAGAUGACUGUUAUGUAUGAGAAAAGGACAGCUUCUCUACUACUUAGAUAUGAUACAGCAUGAGAACUCCUUCAAAGGAGGUCAUCCUAUCUGGAUUAGCCUUUUGACAUUCAGUAGACACUGCCUAACUGGAGACUUUGCCUCCGGAACUGUAACUUUUCUAUUUUGGAAAGACAAAUACACAGGUCUGCUGUACCUGCAGUGCUGAGCUAUUGUGAUAGUUUGUUUUGUGUGACUCGAGUCAAGCUUGAAGCUUUCAAAACCAUGUGUCAAAGUUACUCUUCCCCACAAAGAAACAAAAGGGCACCGAGGAAAACAUCUGAAGGAGAAGAAUGUGCUGUCAGGAUUGGCAUUUCUUCACUUUAAUAGCUCAAGUAAGUGGCUCAGCCAUGUGUGACACUACAGAAACUGUACCUGAGUUAAGGCAGCCAACACAUCUUUGUACAGACCCUUUCUUUCCACGGGCAGUACACAACCAUUUCUAGCACACAUCAGCUAUCUCUGACUCCAGGAAAGGGACCAGCAGCACCUAAUCCAGAAGUUCAGAGACUGACGAAGUUUUCCACCUGAGAAAACCUGAGAGCAUAUUGAAUUAUUUGGUCCAUAGGCCUGGAUCCCAAAAUGUUAUCUGUGAUUCUUGGGCAUCUGAGUCCUGUUUGAGUAUUUCUUGUUGGGUA
This is a long non-coding RNA of Pogoniulus pusillus (Red-fronted tinkerbird), 912 nucleotides long. RefSeq lists it as uncharacterized. The record is from RefSeq and is a predicted model, not a curated record. The transcript is spliced from 6 exons. Lineage: Eukaryota; Metazoa; Chordata; Aves; Piciformes; Lybiidae.